GUCGCCCGCAAGAUACUCACCAUCUGGGUCCGGAAACAAGUUGGCGUUACACCUGUGACCAUCGUAUGGAUCCUGCUGAAUUCAUAGGCAUUGUCCGUCUGACCCCUAUACACUGCAUGAUCACCUAGAGAAAAAGCUACUAGUUCUUCCCUCCUCCAAUCCAGUC
Long non-coding RNA from Hyla sarda, 166 nucleotides. RefSeq lists it as uncharacterized. NCBI's taxonomy places the organism in Eukaryota, Metazoa, Chordata, Amphibia, Anura, Hylidae. The record is from RefSeq and is a predicted model, not a curated record. The transcript is spliced from 3 exons.